UGGGGAAUAUUGGACAAUGGGGGGAACCCUGAUCCAGCCAUGCCGCGUGUGUGAAGAAGGCCUUAUGGUUGUAAAGCACUUUAAGCGAGGAGGAGGGUACUGGUAUUAAUACUACCAGGUACUGGACGUUACUCGCAGAAUAAGCACCGGCUAACUCUGUGCCAGCAGCCGCGGUAAUACAGAGGGUGCGAGCGUUAAUCGGAUUUACUGGGCGUAAAGCGUGCGUAGGCGGCUAAUUGAGUCGGAUGUGAAAGCCCCGGGCUCAACCUGGGAACUGCAUCCAAAACUGGCGAGCUAGAGUAGGGCAGAGGAUGGUAGAAUUCCAGGUGUAGCGGUGAAAUGCGUAGAGAUCUGGAGGAAUACCGAUGGCGAAGGCAGCCAUCUGGCCUAACACUGACGCUGAGGUACGAAAGCAUGGGGAGCAAACAGG
This 430-nucleotide ribosomal RNA is filed under the name Pseudomonadota bacterium. RNAcentral describes it as "Proteobacteria bacterium partial 16S ribosomal RNA". It matches the Rfam family "Bacterial small subunit ribosomal RNA", at positions 355 to 776 of the family's 1533-position model. Lineage: Bacteria; Pseudomonadati; Pseudomonadota. The record is from RNAcentral.